UACAGAGGAGGCAAGCGUUGUUCGGAAUUACUGGGCGUAAAGGGCGCGUAGGCGGCCUUCUAAGUCGGACGUGAAAUCCCCAGGCUUAACUUGGGAACUGCGUCCGAUACUGGAAGGCUCGAGUGCGGGAGAGGGAUGUGGAAUUCCAGGUGUAGCGGUGAAAUGCGUAGAUAUCUGGAGGAACACCGGUGGCGAAGGCGGCAUCCUGGACCGACACUGACGCUGAGGCGCGAAAGCCAGGGGAGCAAACGGG
This 253-nucleotide ribosomal RNA is filed under the name uncultured bacterium. Its description in RNAcentral is "partial 16S ribosomal RNA". It matches the Rfam family "Bacterial small subunit ribosomal RNA", at positions 524 to 776 of the family's 1533-position model. The record is from RNAcentral.